Meriones unguiculatus (Mongolian gerbil) is the source of this 2732-nucleotide long non-coding RNA. RefSeq lists it as uncharacterized. Lineage: Eukaryota; Metazoa; Chordata; Mammalia; Rodentia; Muridae. The transcript has 4 exons. The record is from RefSeq and is a predicted model, not a curated record.
CUGACAGGGCGGGGUGCAACCCGAGGGCCGGGCCGGGCCUCGCCGGCGGCUUCCCGGAACAAUAAGUCCCGGGGCUAAGUGUUGUAGGCGGGUCCCGGAGCUGGAGGGGCGCCUCCGCUGCCCCUCCCUGGGCGACGUCCGGGGAACGGCCCGGGGACCGCCGGACGCCGGCCCUCAUCCUUCGAAGCCCUCCGCCCGAAGCCCAGGAGCCCUCGGAGAGCCUGGCCUCCAGGCUGUGAGCAAAUGCCAAGCUAGCUGUGCUGACAGCUUCCACAUAUUCUCCCAUUCGGCCACUGAGCCUACUGUAGGAACACUGGAAUAGCAGGGUCUCAAUAUGUAGCCUUGGCCAGCCUGGAAUUCAUUCUGUAGACUAGGCUGGUCUCAGACUUACAGAGAUCCUCCUGCCUCUGCCAGCGGAGUGCUGGGAUUGAAGACAUGUGCCACCACGCCCAGCUCCAAGGCUCAUUCUGAAAGCAGCACUUACAACAGGAAUGUUUACUACAAAGCCACCAAAGUACCUCGACACCUGUAUCCACCAUCAUGCCUUCCUAUCCCAGGAGCUACUGAAUGGAGGAAGCCACAGCAAGACAAUAAGGAAGUUCUGAAAGAGCCGCAUUUCCUUCAUUAAAACCAGCAAAAAGCAUGAUUAGGACGUCCAAAUCCCUAAUUACAGGAUCACAGACCGUGGGAGCAGCAGGAGCCUGAUUAGCAUGCUGGCUCCCCGCUUCACAAAUAAGGAAACAGACUUAUUGCUAUCAAGGGUCAGUCUGAACAUCAAAGCCUGAGUUUCCUGAGGACUCUGAAUCUAGCCCCAGCCCAGUCAUCGUGUCUCCAGAACAAGUGUUAGCUGAAGUUAUCUUGAGGGCUGGACUCCUGUGAGCAACCUGAAAUUGGCUGCUUCUAUGGUAAGAAGAGGCUAGCCUCGGCAUCCCAACCAUAGAGCCAUUCUCUACCUGCUGCAGGGCACGAGGCAGAAUACCCCGGUGCUUGUAAUUCUCAGUUGCUCCCGUCAUGGUGUAUGUCUUGCCAGCUCCCGUCUGCCCAUAACACAUGAUGGUACCUGCAAACAUUUCAAAAUAUGGCUGAGUGGGACAUUUGGAAAAAAAUCACUCCAUGGACAACCCUGGUAUCCUCAACAUGCUUGGUGCUGCCCAGGGCUCUUGGUGUGAAGGUAGCCAAUAGAAACAUCCGCAGACAAUAGGGAGUCACCGUGGAAGAGAGCAAAUAUACACCCUCACUGUGUGAUCUACAUAGAGCUCUAUGCUUCCCUGUUCCCAGAUGGUGGUAGGGCUAGGGAACACUGUAGCUGAAACUUUUCUUGUAAAGAAUAAGAAGGCACUGGAGCAUUAGACUCCAGUCCUUCUCACGGCCAUGAACUGCAUGUGUCUGAGAGAUAGCAGGAGAUGCCCCACAGAGACAAAUUCCAGAAAGAGAUGGAGCAAGAAGGGUAUUGCUGUCAGUGGUAAGCUUUUUUGUAGAUCUGUUUGAGACAUGGUCUCAUGUAGCCCAUGUUGACAACAAGCUGCGUAGCCAAGAAUAACUUGAACUCCUCAUCCACCUGCUUCCAUUGCCCAAGUGCUGGGAUAGCCAGCCUGUGACACUAUACCUUGCUGAAAGAUUUAUUUAUAGACUACAAGGCUCCUAGCUAGUUCCAUGCCACUUCCAGAAAUGGGCAACUAUGUCAGGGCCAUGACCUAUGCCCAAAUGCCUACCCUGGGAAGACUUUAAUUUGUACCUUUUGACUACAUUAUCACCACCACCACCUUCUUUCUUCUCCUCCACCACCUCCCCUUCUUUACAACUAGGCUCUGGGAUGCAAACCAUUGUCACCUUGGGCUCUUAUUCCUAUUUCCUCUUGAACUGGAGCUACUCCAAAGAUUGCUGCUGUGAAUCUACAUGGCGGAACUGGUGAGGCUACCUAGGAGUCUGCUUGCCUUUGUUUCACAGGUGCUGGGAUUGGUGGUAGGUUUUAGAGGAGCAGCCCUAAGUCAGCACCUGGCUUGGAGCCAGGAGCAGGAAGCAAUUAGCCCACUGCUAAGGAGCCAAAACCUGCUUCAGCUGGGAUUCAGAACCCACCUGCAGUCCUGUAGCACCAAGCCUAAGACUGCUAAGCUCCCUAGUUCUCAGUUCCCCUCUCCCCACCCCUUUAUCUCCAGGCCAUAGCCUCUCAGGGAAUCAGGAAAAUAUCACCGAGUCAGUGGGGACCGGGGACCAUAUCUAUGGAUCACAUGCAGGAUUCAUUACAAUGCUGGAAACUCAAGACUCACUGGAUUUUCCACACAAAAUAGUCUGGCUAUAUAAUCCAAACUGUUCUCAAUUUCCUGAUCCUCCUGCCUUCACCUCCCAAAUGCUAGAUUUACAAGCAUGUGAGACCAUGCCUGGCUCUCUUCAUGCACUUUCCUAUAGAAAAGCCUAAAACUUUCAGAGCUACGUAUCUACAUAGAACAUGUGCUUAGUAUUUGUAAGGUUCUGUGUUUGAUACCUAGUACCAUGCAAGUAACUAACAGUCAAAAGCCUUGCAAACUAGGGACCAUUCUGAUCAGCAGCCACUGGAUGGACAGCAGAGUCUACAAACUGUAUUUUUAUUUUUAAGCUUUUUUAAUUUUCAGAUAGGGCUACAUGUAGCUCAGGCUGGCACCUAACUAGUAGGUAGCUGAGGAUGACUUUGAACCCUGAUAUUCUUGCCUCCACUUCAAAGUGACUAGAUUACAGAAAUUUCCUACUAUGUCACA